RNAcentral lists this long non-coding RNA (1591 nucleotides) under Physcomitrium patens. Its description in RNAcentral is "long non-coding RNA (PPAT_LNC003910)". The record is from RNAcentral. Lineage: Eukaryota; Viridiplantae; Streptophyta; Bryopsida; Funariales; Funariaceae.
AUUGUCAUAAUACGUGAAUUCUUACUUGAGAAUGCUCUGAGCACCUGACUGUGGAAGAUAGAAUGAAAAUUUCAAUAACAAAAUCCUAACUCUAAUAGAAUACUAAUUAAAUUCUAAUUAUAUCAUAAUAAUGCUAAGCAAGCUUUAAUUAAUUCAAAGAAACCUUAAACAAUUUACAAAGAAAAAAUAAGAAAUCUUAAAAAAAUAUUAGAAUGAUUACAAAUAUAUUUCAAAUAAAUUUCAAUCCAAUCUCAAUUUAAUCCUAGUAAAAAUCCUAUUGGACUUCAAUCAAAUUUUAGGCCAAAAACUAACUAAAUCUUAAAUCUUAAACAAAUCCUAAAUAAAUCCUAAUUCCAAAAUCAACUCCUAAACAAAUCCUAAUCCUAAAUCAAAUCCUAAUCAAACUCUAAAUCUUAAAUCAAAAUCUAACCAAAUCCUAAAUCUUGAAUCAAAUCCUAAUCAAAUUCUAAUCUUAAAUCAAAUCCUAAUCAAAUCCUAAAUUUUAAACUAAAUCCUAACCAAAUUCUAAAUCCUAAAUGAAAUCCUAACCAAAUCCUAAAUCCUAAAUCAAAUCAUAAUCAAAUCAUAAUCCUAAAUCAAAUCUUAACUAAAUUCUGAUAAAAUUUUAAUUCUAAAUCAAACCUAAUCAAAUCUUAACCAAAUUCUAAUCAAAUCUUAAUCCUAAAUCAAAUCCUAAACAAAUCCUAAAUCCUAAAUAAAAUCCUAAUCAAAUCCUAAAUCUUAAAUCAAUUCCUAACCAAAUCUUAAAUCUUAAAUCAAAUCCUAAUCAAAUCCUAAAUCCUAAAUCAAAACCUAAUCAAAUCCUAAUCCUAAAUCAAAUCUUAACCAAAUCCUAAAUCCUAAAUCAAAUCCUAAUUAAAUCCUAAUUAAACCUUAAAUCUUAAAUCAAAUCCUAAACCAAAUCCUUAUCAAAUUCUAAAUCCUAAAUCAAAUCCUAACCAAUCCCAAAUAAUUCCUAUAAUAGAUUUAUACCUCAAUAACUAAUAAAUUAACCAUUGAUUUUAACUCAAAAUUUUCACACUUCUUAAAAAUUAAGUUAAAAACAAGCACAAAAUAAAUUGAAGAGGAUUAAAAUUACCAAAUAAAUAAUAACCUCAAAAACAUGCUUAGGUAUUGCCUAGCCUCCUUCUCUAAUAUUGAUGCCAAUCUUCCAGAGCUAAUAUCUCUCUUUUUUACUAUUCGAUUGAUUUCAAAAUUAUUAUAUACAUAGAAAAACAAGUCUACUAUCUUAACACAUAAAUUUUACUCCAAUCUAAUUAAUAGAUUGUAAGAAAUCUUAAAAAUCUUCAUUCAACCUAAAAUUCUACUUUUUGAGACCUUGACCCAUUCAAACCUCAAUAAUCCUCAAUUCAACUAUUAGAUCAAGCUAAAAUUCAUAAUACAUAUUAAGCACAACUAUAACCAUAUAUCUACAAAUUUUCACCUAUAGAUCUAUUACAAAACUUUCAAAAUUAUCCAAAACAUCAAUCCUAUUUUAUUUCACAAAAAUCUAAGUCAUCCAAAACAAACUUGACUUUGUAAAGUCUUUAUAAAGUCAUUACAAAUCCAAAUCGUACAAAACCAAUGCUUU